This is a long non-coding RNA of Eucalyptus grandis, 2114 nucleotides long. RefSeq lists it as uncharacterized. The transcript is spliced from 4 exons. The record is from RefSeq and is a predicted model, not a curated record. NCBI's taxonomy places the organism in Eukaryota, Viridiplantae, Streptophyta, Magnoliopsida, Myrtales, Myrtaceae.
UCAAUCGGGUUGCAGCAAGUCUUUUUUCCGGCACCGCCAGGAGCCACUCCAUCCGGCGUCCGCCCCCACGCGCCGCCGCCUUAACUCCGAUCGCACUCGCCACCGCCGUGCGCCGCUCACAUGUGACCCCAUACAACCACCGCGGAAAUCCCCCAGAACAGCACCAUGUCCUCGGCACGAUCGUCAAGUUCACCUCCGGCUCCUCCGCUCUCCGUAAGCUCCGAUACGCCCCGUCGGUCCGAGUCUCCGACCGUCGGUGCGUGCUCACUCGCGGAGGCGGUUCGGAUUCGGAGUCUGAUUCGUCGGGCCGUCCGGGAGGAGAGGAGCUUGCGGUCGCGCGCGGUCUCGGGGAGGCGAAAUCGGCCGUCGAAGGAUGGACGGGGAGGCGCUUGAGGCAGAAUGUCUUGGCCUCGCAGGACUCCGGCGAUAGGGCGGUGAUCGUACAAAGGACUCAAACUUGCAUAUACAAUGAGUUGAAGGGAUUUUUCCGGUGGGCUUCGGAUCUACAGGCUAUCUUAUCAAAUCCUUGCGGGAACAAAAAUCCUUGUCACUAAGAACAGUUCCUUUUGUAGUAAUUGAUGGCAGUCAGUGGCCCGCAGUGGAUUAUGUCGUUGUGAACAUGGAUGGUUCAAGGCAUCAUCUACCUCUUACCACAUUAUGUCACCAAUUGCAGCUGAUGAAUUCUUCUCUCCUUACACGUUCCUUUAGGCACUUUUUGGUCAUGAAUACCCUGUUGGACUGCUUGAUAAGAGAAAAUUCUUCCAUUAGAAAGGUAUGUCGUUAGUAUUGUUGACCCUUGCUUUUUGAAAAUGAAUUCCGGAGAUCAAUUCAUUCCGAGAUUUUCCAUAUUUUCUAUAAGUUUUCCUCUCAUCUAUAUUUUAAUGGUGAUGGAUGGACAUUGGAUUAGUCUUGAUGCUUGCUUGAGGAGAUUCUUUUUCCUUUCGUGGACUUAUUGCCCAUGUACACUAUUUUCUUUUACUAUAAAUCGACACUUGUACAAAUUUAUUCUCUCUAAUCUCGAUCGUGGUUUAUAGCAAGAUGUGGAUAUGUAGUGAAUUGCCUGUUUGCAAGUCUGCGUUUUUUGCAUUUUGCACGACACGGAGAGUUUCCCAGUUGUGUGGUUUUAUGAAUUUUUGGGUGAUGCACAACCUCCUAUUGUUUUGGUAUUUUUCCCCUUACCUGUCAAAAGAUAUUGUGGCUCCUGUUCCUUUGAUGCUUGUCAUUUGUUUAUGUGAUGAUCUAUAAACAUCACAUGACUCAAGUCGUUGAGAAUUGACCAUCUCAUACUUCCUCUUGGGCAGGCAACCCUUUUUUGACAGUACUCGUCUACUAUUGAAUUGACUGAUUUGACAUUUUCCAGCACCGAGAUGACAAAAGAUCAAAUGGUCAUUGAUCUUGCCUUUUGCACAAAGAUACUCUUCUGGAGUAGUAUUCUUCUUGGAAAGAUAUCAAUUGGUAUCCUUGGAUUUGCUUUUGUAAGAUCAAUAGCUAUCAACCAGUAAACUUGUAACCAUAUUCUGUAUCCUGUUGAAUUCAAGACAUUAUAAUUUUUUACCUUACCGGGCAUGCUGAAUCUACUUUCCUCAUAAAAUGGAACAGAUGGAAAAAGUGGAGGCAGCAUAGACGGGACGAGCAGGAGCAGCAGCAGCAGCAGCAGCAGCAGAGCCAUGCUGCAGUCGUCGAGCCCAACACUCUUGCAGAGGAUGAAUCGAGAGAUGUACCAGAUGGACAAUUAUGUGUAAUUUGUCUAAUGAGGAGGAGGAGGUCCAUUUUUUUUUUCCAUGUGGUCUUCUUGUGUGUUGUCAGCGAUUUGUGCUAUCAGUAGAAUGGGAGGUUUCACCAAAAUGCUCUGUUUGUAGGUAGCCAAUCUCUAAUUCAGUCCAGAUUUUUUAAUAUAGUAGUGAUUUUGCUUCUGUUAGUUCAAGGGUGGGUAGUCAAAAUUGCUAGCCUUUCUUCUUUAAUAUAUCCUGGGAAAAGAGCAUGCCCAUCCUUUAAUGGAGAGUCCACAAUGGAUUGGUGAUCAUUUCUUGUCAGUAGCGACGCUUAGUGGGUCUUUCCUACUGUUGAAACCGUGUUGUUUAAUAAAUUGAGCCUGACCUCAUCUUUUCUUUGAA